UCAUCCUUGCGUCGUUUAUCU
Molecule: microRNA, 21 nt
Filed under: Pristionchus pacificus
Lineage: Eukaryota; Metazoa; Nematoda; Chromadorea; Rhabditida; Neodiplogasteridae
Description: ppc-miR-8312-3p
Source: miRBase by way of RNAcentral